GCAACAGUUACCACAGGGUCCUGGCGGCAGCUCCUGCGUCCCCUCCACCGCCCCUCCCUGCAGCCACCUCACAUUGUGAGGGCUGCUGUGUUUGAGCCCCUCUGCAAGCUCAGGGGGCAGAAAUCAUGGCCUGCAGCGUCACCUUGCCCCCGCCUACCCUGGCACCCAAAGAACCCAGUGUUCACAGUGUCGACCCACACCUCCCGCUGCCAGCUGGAGCCCGAGGACUCUGGGGACAGUAGACGGCUCUGCACGCCACCAUAACGUGAGAACAUGUCACUGUUGGUCCAAACCCAGAGGGAGCAACACCUAGAGUGAGCCCUCACUGCCCUGGUCACGGGGAUUGCGAUGCGCCAGCGUGGCCCUGGGUCCCCACCCGUGUGCCACUCUGGUGGGGACGGAGCAGGGGAGGCUGGAGGGGGCAGGGGGCGUGGGAAGUCUGUGCCUUCCUCCCAGUUCUGCUGAGAACCACAAAACUGCUCUUUAAAAAGUCUAUUAGAAAGAGUUUCCCCAGCCCAGCAGGUGUCUGGGGCCGGCCACCCUGGGCAGGGCUGUGACCCUCCAGGUGCGGUCUCUGGGUUGUGAAAAUCACAGGUGUCUCCAGGCGCAGCCUGGUGUGUGUAUGGGGACCCUGGUCAUCUCUGCUGACUCUGUGACUGUAUGGUGAUUUCCUGGAGGGUUCCGGGGAUCCUGCUGUAAUUUCCUGCUGGUUCUGGGCGUCCUGGCACCUGGACCUGGCUGCACACAAUCCUUCGCUGAUUCUGGGGACUCUGAACAAUGUAGGCUGAUUUCCUGAGCCUGCCUCAGUGAUCCCGCCUUGUGUAGAGACCCGACCACGUUCAUGCGUUUAUUAGGGCAGAAUCUUGCUAACUUGCUAAGGCUGGCCUCAAACUUGCGAUCCUCCUGCCUCAGCCUCUGGAGCCUCUGGGAUGACAAGGGUGCCAUAUUGAUCCUGGCCACAGCUCAGCUUUCUAGUGGGAUUCCAGGAGGUGUAUCACUGCAGGUGUUCUGCCAUGCACACACACGAUGCUACAGUCCAGCUGUGUUUUAACAAGUCAGUGCCCAUGGGGAGACACACAGCACAGGUCAACAGGACUUUUUGAAUUAAAAAAAAAAAAAAUUGUCAGAUGAAAAAACAAAACAAAAACCAAAGGACUUCAGAAGGGUAUUUCUGCGCUGUGGUCACAAGAGGGAGCCCAAGAUACACGUCAAGCUCCCGCGGCCUCUAGAGGGCGGUCUCCGGACCUCAUCGCUGCCCACCUGGACCUCACACUCCUCCCGGGGCCUCCCUACCUCAUCUGGAACAGGGAAGAGAAAGUGCCUGCGAUGAGUCCCCUGAGCAGCCCAGGAGACAGGGAAAAAGUGUGGAGCUCCCAGAAACCGUGGAAGCAGCCCUGAGGAGGGAAAGGAGAUGGAAGUGAGAAGUUAAGUCUAAAAUAACCCAGUGAAGAGAUUCCCAGAGCCAGCAUUCCAUCUGCACCCCUCGGGAGCCUGUCCCCCCGCCCGAGGUCUACCCACCCAUCCAAGCACCUCCCUGUCUCCUGGACGCGGGGACCUCCCAGCCGCUCUGUCCACACCGAUGUUCCCCCUCUAAUGACGGCUAUGGUGCCGCAGUCCAGGUAGCACAGAGCGUUGGCCCUGGGUCGAAAUGCAGCUCCGUUCAAGCCCAGCGCCACUCGGACUCAUGAACCCCAGAGCCUCGGUGUGCUCAUCUAGAAACGGGUCUGACAAUGACACCCUCACAGACACCUUCACGAAGCUGUGAGAGUUGGUGGAACUGUCCAUGGGGGACUGGAGCAGUGCUGGGCGCACAGUACCGGCUCAGAACGUGUGAGCUGCUGUUCGCCUCCCUUCCCGCUACUCCCCUUCUCCACUGCUCCUUCCUUGCAGAGCUGGGGGUGAACCAGGCCCUGUGCGUGCGGGUCCUGCGCAGGGCCACUCAGCAACGCCCCCAGCCUGCUGUUCUUUCCUGCCUUCUGCAAGUCUGUCUCCACGAAGGGUUCCUGCAGAUAUAUUUAGACAAAAAUAUGA
Molecule: non-coding RNA, 2031 nt
Organism: Ictidomys tridecemlineatus (thirteen-lined ground squirrel)
Lineage: Eukaryota; Metazoa; Chordata; Mammalia; Rodentia; Sciuridae
Source: RefSeq, a predicted model, not a curated record